UACGGAGGGGGCAAGCGUUAUUCGGAAUUAUUGGGCGUAAAGGGCGCGUAGGCGGCUAGAUGUGUCAAAGGUGAAAUCCCUCGGCUCAACUGAGGAACUGCCUUUGAAACUGUCUGGCUUGAGGCCGGGAGAGGGUAGCGGAAUUCCCAGUGUAGCGGUGAAAUGCGUAGAUAUCAGGAGGAACACCAAUUGCGAAGGCAGCUCGCUGGGACGUUACUGACGCUGAGACGCGAAAGCGUGGGGAGCGAACAGG
RNAcentral lists this ribosomal RNA (253 nucleotides) under uncultured bacterium. RNAcentral's name for it is "partial 16S ribosomal RNA". It matches the Rfam family "Bacterial small subunit ribosomal RNA", at positions 524 to 776 of the family's 1533-position model. The record is from RNAcentral.